UAUUAUAUAGUUUAUAAAAAUAUUAAUUUUGUAAAUUAAAGAUAUAUUUAAAGUAUUAUAAUAA
This 64-nucleotide transfer RNA is filed under the name Homolobus sp. QL-2013. RNAcentral describes it as "tRNA-Thr". Lineage: Eukaryota; Metazoa; Arthropoda; Insecta; Hymenoptera; Braconidae. The record is from RNAcentral.